This is a non-coding RNA of Cyanistes caeruleus (blue tit), 291 nucleotides long. NCBI's taxonomy places the organism in Eukaryota, Metazoa, Chordata, Aves, Passeriformes, Paridae. The record is from RefSeq and is a predicted model, not a curated record.
GGCUGUCGGAGCAGCUGGCCCACACGCCCACCUCAUUCCGGAGGGAUCCCGAGGAUCCGUCGGCCGUGGCCCUCAAGGAGCCCUGGCAGGAGAAAGUCAGGAGAAUCCGGGAAGCCUCUCCCUACGGCCACCUCCCCUCCUGGCGCCUCCUCUCCGUCAUCGUCAAAUGCGGCGACGACCUCCGGCAGGAGCUGCUGGCGUUCCAGGUGCUCAAACAGCUCCAGUCCAUCUGGGAGCAGGAGCGGGUUCCCCUGUGGAUCAAGCCCUACCAGAUCCUGGUGAUCUCUGCGG